GUGCCAGCCGCGCGGUAAUACCGGCAGCUCAAGUGAUGUCCCAUAUUAUUGGGCCUAAAGCGUCCGUAGCUGGCCGACCAAGUCUCCCGGGAAAUCCACCCGCCCAACGAGUGGGCGUCCGACGGAAACUGCACAGCUUGGGACCGGAAGGCUCAGAGAGUACGUCCGGGGUAGGAGUGAAAUCCCGUAAUCCCGGACGGACUACCGAUGGCGAAAGCACUCUGAGAAGACGGCUUCGACAGUGAGGGACGAAAGCUCGGGUCUCAAACCGGAUUAGAAACCCCAGUAGUCC
Molecule: ribosomal RNA, 292 nt
Filed under: uncultured bacterium
Lineage: Bacteria
Description: partial 16S ribosomal RNA
Rfam family: Archaeal small subunit ribosomal RNA
Source: RNAcentral